This 437-nucleotide ribosomal RNA is filed under the name uncultured archaeon. RNAcentral describes it as "bacterial SSU rRNA". It matches the Rfam family "Archaeal small subunit ribosomal RNA", at positions 16 to 458 of the family's 1478-position model. The record is from RNAcentral.
UCCGGACCUGACUGCUAUCGGAUUGAUACUAAGCCAUGCGAGUCAUUGUAGCAAUACAAGGCAGACGGCUCAGUAACGCGUAGUCAACCUACCCUAUGGACAGGAAUAACCUCGGGAAACUGAGUAUAAUGCCCGAUAGAACAUUAUACCUGGAAUGGUUUAUGUUCCAAAUGAUUUAUCGCCGUAGGAUGGGACUGCGGCCUAUCAGUUUGUUGGUGAGGUAAUGGCCCACCAAGACUAUUACAGGUACGGGCUCUGAGAGGAGUGGCCCGGAGAUGGGUACUGAGACACGGACCCAGGCCCUAUGGGGCGCAGCAGGCGAGAAAACUUUGCAAUGUGCGAAAGCACGACAAGGUUAAUCCGAGUGGUUUCUGCUAAAGGAACCUUUUGUCAGUCCUAGAAACACUGAUGAAUAAGGGGUGGGCAAGUUCUGGUGU